Molecule: ribosomal RNA, 253 nt
Filed under: uncultured bacterium
Lineage: Bacteria
Description: partial 16S ribosomal RNA
Rfam family: Bacterial small subunit ribosomal RNA
Source: RNAcentral
UACGAAGGGGGCUAGCGUUGCUCGGAAUCACUGGGCGUAAAGGGUGCGUAGGCGGGUUCUUAAGUCAGAGGUGAAAUCCUGGAGCUCAACUCCAGAACUGCCUUUGAUACUGAGAGUCUUGAGUUCGGGAGAGGUGAGUGGAACUGCGAGUGUAGAGGUGAAAUUCGUAGAUAUUCGCAAGAACACCAGUGGCGAAGGCGGCCUUCUGGACGAUAACUGACGCUGAGACGCGAAAGCGUGGGGAGCAAACAGG